UACGGAGGGUGCGAGCGUUGUCCGGAAUCAUUGGGCGUAAAGAGCUCGUAGGCGGCUUGUUGCGUCAGCUGUGAAAACCCGCAGCUCAACUGUGGGCUUGCAGCUGAUACGGGCAGGCUUGAGUUCGGUAGGGGAGACUGGAACUCCUGGUGUAGCGGUGAAAUGCGCAGAUAUCAGGAGGAACACCGGUGGCGAAGGCGGGUCUCUGGGCCGAUACUGACGCUGAGGAGCGAAAGCGUGGGGAGCGAACAGG
Molecule: ribosomal RNA, 253 nt
Filed under: uncultured bacterium
Lineage: Bacteria
Description: partial 16S ribosomal RNA
Rfam family: Bacterial small subunit ribosomal RNA
Source: RNAcentral